This is a non-coding RNA of Phrynosoma platyrhinos (Desert horned lizard), 73 nucleotides long. Lineage: Eukaryota; Metazoa; Chordata; Lepidosauria; Squamata; Phrynosomatidae. The record is from the annotation of a GenBank genome assembly.
GGCCAGCGUGGUGUAGUGGUCCGAAUGUUGGACUACAACUCUGGAGACCAGGGUUCAAUUCCCCACUCGGCCA